CAAUUUUCGUGCAUGUACGUGAAACACAGCUGGAGGGCUGUUGAUUUUUUUACGAUAGGUGGCGCUGUCGAGCCAUUUUGCCACACCCUCUUCUGAAACCUAUAUCAGACGUAAAUUUUCACCAGGUCUGACGCGUGUGCAAAGUUUCAGGACUUUUCGAGCAUGUUUAGGCCCUCAAAAAUGCGAUUCAUUUUGGAGAAGAAGAAGAAGAAGAAGAAGAAGAAGAAGAAGAAGAAGAAUAAUAAUAAUAAACGAAGCAGAUACAAGAGGGUCCUCACACCAUCGGUGCUCGGGCCCUAAUAAACGAAGCAAUUCCAAUAGGGUCCUCACACCAUCGGUGCUCGGGCCCUAAAUAUAGCUGCAAGCAGCGAUGGCGGGCUCAAGCCAUCAGCGCAAACGCCACCCCGGUGGCAUCAGGUAAACUGUGCCCAGCGGGCACAUGCAUUUACAGUAAUCCUCUGGCACUCAGGUUUUAAGGGAUACGGCAAUUAACGUGUUAAUCCGAAGCAUCAAGACUUUGAAAUCACAUACACAGAACAAUAUUCAUUAAGAAAGU
Molecule: long non-coding RNA, 556 nt
Organism: Cyprinus carpio carpio
Lineage: Eukaryota; Metazoa; Chordata; Actinopteri; Cypriniformes; Cyprinidae
Source: Ensembl